Molecule: long non-coding RNA, 888 nt
Organism: Jatropha curcas
Lineage: Eukaryota; Viridiplantae; Streptophyta; Magnoliopsida; Malpighiales; Euphorbiaceae
Source: RefSeq, a predicted model, not a curated record
AUUGUACAAAAUUUAUAAAAUUAAAUCUCCUUCAUUUGGUCUUUCUCCCAAUGGGCCCAAACCCAUGUCUUAUGAUAAUAGACCCACAUUUCCUUGUGUAUUUAGGAAAUAGUAUAUAUUAUAGCUAUAUGGUUUUUUGUGUACUGUGUGUCCAAGCAAUAUUUUGAAAGAAAGGCGAUAAAUAAGUAUUACCCACCGGAGUUUGAUCCUUCAAGACUGCCGAGAAGAAAAAGAUCGCACAAUCGGCAAUUGAAGAUAAGGAAUAUGCUUCCAAUUAGAAUCCAAUGUAAACAUUGCGUACUUACAUGACGGAAGGGAGCAAAUUCAAUUCGCGCAAAGAAAUCGCUUGUGAUCUAAUGCCUUGACAUGUUGUCUCUCCCAAGCAUCUGCCUCCCUUCAUAACUGCAUUCAGGUAUUGAGAAAGAUCUUGAAGAAAUCUAUCGAUGAGCUUUCAUUUGUCAACAAAAACACAAUUCAGGUUUUAAGUUGAGCUUUCCAUACAAAAUCACACAACUUGUGAAACAGCAAUGGCUAAUUCAAAUUUUAAAUUUGUCUUUCAGAAUUUACAAAGAAUCCAUUUGGCAUUGAGGUUUAAAUCGUUCGAGUAUUGCUUAGUUGUUCUAAAAGUUUCUGUGAUUAGGAUAAUGUGGAAUUCACAUUAAAAACAAACUUUAGUGAGUUAUAAUACUCGAACCAUAAUGCCAAAUCGACCAAAAACUAUGAAUUUCUAUUAAGCAUCAAUAAAGCUGGGUUCAUUUGAAAUAUUACAAUUAGCAUCUCAGUAUUCAUUCACAAAAUUGAUAGAUAUUGCAUGGGCAUGGUUGAAAAUGAAAGAUGUUACCCACUCCUAAAUGAGUUAUGAUCACCAAAUAAGCCAAUGAAAAUCUA